Non-coding RNA from Arvicanthis niloticus (Nile rat), 1439 nucleotides. The record is from RefSeq and is a predicted model, not a curated record. NCBI's taxonomy places the organism in Eukaryota, Metazoa, Chordata, Mammalia, Rodentia, Muridae.
CAAGAACAUAGCUAGUGGGAAUAGAGCAAGUUUGAAAGGUUUGCCUUGGAGGGCGACAGACUUAGACCCUACCCAGCUCUUCUAGCACAAAGCCCCCUCAUGUUUCACUGAUACAUGUUCAAAACCAAAUUCAGUCUUGGAGUCCUUCUGAAGAGGAAGUGGUUGGAUUGCAGAGGCAGCAGGAGCCAGAGAACUCAAAAGAAGUAAAUGGGAUUAUUCAGAAGCGACAGAAGGGACAUCCUGAAGAUUUUGGUAGAAAGGAAAACCCUUCCAGUGGUCUGGAGAGCAGCUGGGGUCAGAGGACAGACGUGUGUAUAUUAACAGGAGCCAGCGAUGUUGCUAUGACAAACGAGCACUGGAAUGAGGGGGGUCAGUGAAUCCUGACAGAUGACAGCAUUGCAAGAAGGGUCAAGAGUCUGUUAAUUACAAUUGCAGGUCUCAUGUGUCUCUUUCUUCAGGAACUUUCUGCCAGCUUCCUUGAAAAGGUUAACGUUCCCAUGGUACAAAUUCAAAGCACCAAGAAUGUUUCUUUCAUGAAUCAUCACACUGCACUUUUCUAGUUCUUUGGUUUGCAUUUAAUUUACACCAUGUCAUUAGACUGUAAGUUAUUUAUUGUGGAGUGUUGCGUCUGCUUUGGACCAUUGACUUAUGCAUGUCUUGUAUAGUUCUGUGCAUUAAGCUGACUCAGGAAAUCCAUGCUUAGCGGAUACAUAAAUGAAUAGAUAAGUAGAUGCGUUACCCAAAAUAGCAAAACCAGAAUGCAUCCGAAAAGAACAUGGGAAUAAAUAAGAAAAAUGUAAUUUUCAAAAAGUUGAAGAGAAAAAUCACAUUUCCCUAGCAGAACAUUCCAGAGGGUGUUGAAGGUCAUGAUGAUGAAAUAUUCUGAGAAUAUUUUUUUAUAUUCUAAGACACUGGGCCUUUUGCUGGACUUCACAGUCAAUGUUAACAAUACAUCCUGAGUCACUUAAGACUUAAGACUGCUAGCCUUCUGUGUGCUCAGCCUGUUUGUUUAACCUGCUUUUAAGAGGACAAUGUUACAGUCAACCUCACUUGCCUUGGAUUUCCCAUGUAAUCAGCUUUUACAACCCAAGCUAAUGGCUAGCUGUAACCUUAAAUUAUGUACUCUUUCAUGCCCAUGUCCCUUAGCAAUGCACGUGUAUCAUUUGUUGAGAGCAGCAAAUACGGAAGUUAAAAGCGACUUUCUAAAAUCUACCAGAAAGGUUGAAAACAUCUAUUUAUGAGUCUUGGUUGAUAAACAAUGCUUGUUAUCUGGGUCAGUUGGGAACUGUUGGAGCCAGGGACAUAAUACCUUGUAAAACUCUGUUAAAGAUUUUUGUAAAGUCUCCCAUUCCUUUCUCAUGUGAUGCUUUCUGUGCUUUCAAUAAAGACACAGUGAAGCCUUUUGUGAGGAAUAGACACACAAUCUACAAACACACACA